AUGGUGAAAUCCCAGAGCUUAACUCUGGAACUGCCAUCAAAACUUUUCAGCUAGAGUAUGAUAGAGGAAAGCAGAAUUUCUAGUGUAGAGGUGAAAUUCGUAGAUAUUAGAAAGAAUACCAAUUGCGAAGGCAGCUUUCUGGAUCAUUACUGACACUGAGGAACGAAAGCAUGGGUAGCGAAGAGGAUUAGAUACCCUCGUAGUCCAUGCCGUAAACGAUGUGUGUUAGACGUUGGAAAUUUAUUUUCAGUGUCGCAGCGAAAGCGAUAAACACACCGCCUGGGGAGUACGACCGCAAGGUUAAAACUCAAAUGAAUUGACGGGGACCCGCACAAGUAGUGGAGCAUGUGGUUUAAUUCGAAGAUACGCGCAGAACCUUACCAACACUUGACAUGUUCGUCGCGACUUUAAGAGAUUAAAGUUUUCGGUUCGGCCGGACGAAACACAGGUGCUGCAUGGCUGUCGUCAGCUCGUGUCGUGAGAUGUUGGGUUAAGUCCCGCAACGAGCGCAACCCUCACUUUUAGUUGCCAUCAUUAAGUUGGGCACUCUGAAAGAACUGCCAGUGAUAAGCUGGAGGAAGGUGGGGAUGACGUCAAGUCCUCAUGGCCCUUACGUGUUGGGCUACACACGUGCUACAAUGGUAUCUACAACAGGAAGCAAGACUGCGAGGUCAAGCAAAUCCUAAAAAGAUACCUCAGUUCGGAUUGCACUCUGCAACUCGAGUGCAUGAAGCUGGAAUUACUAGUAAUCGUGGAUCAGCGUGCCACGGUGAAUGCGUUCCCGGGUCUUGUACACACCGCCCGUCACACCAUGGGAGUUGGUUCUACCUUAAGGCAAGGUUUAAAACCCUUGACCACGGUAUAGUCAGCGACUGGGGUGAAGUCGUAACAAGGUAGCCGUAGGGGAACCUGCGGCUG
This 918-nucleotide ribosomal RNA is filed under the name marine metagenome. RNAcentral's name for it is "bacterial SSU rRNA". It matches the Rfam family "Bacterial small subunit ribosomal RNA", at positions 591 to 1520 of the family's 1533-position model. The record is from RNAcentral.